This 434-nucleotide ribosomal RNA is filed under the name uncultured bacterium. RNAcentral describes it as "partial 16S ribosomal RNA". It matches the Rfam family "Bacterial small subunit ribosomal RNA", at positions 29 to 507 of the family's 1533-position model. The record is from RNAcentral.
AACGAACGCUGGCGGCAUGCCUAACACAUGCCAGUCGAACGAACCUUUCGGGGCUAGUGGCGGACGGGUGCGUAACACGUGGGAACGUGCCCUUAGGUUCGGAAUAACUCAGGGAAACUUGUGCUAAUACCGAAUGUGCCCUUCGGGGGAAAGAUUAAUCGCCUUUAGAGCGGCCCGCGUCUGAUUAGCUAGUUGGUUGAGGUAAUGGCUCACCAAGGCGACGAUCAGUAGCUGGUCUGAGAGGAUGAUCAGCCACAUUGGGACUGAGACACGGCCCAAACUCCUACGGGAGGCAGCAGUGGGGAAUCUUGCGCAAUGGGCGAAAGCCUGACGCAGCCAUGCCGCGUGAAUGAUGAAGGUCUUAGGAUUGUAAAAUUCUUUCACCGGGGACGAUAAUGACGGUACCCGGAGAAGAAGCCCCGGCUAACUUCGUG